CGUCUGCUUACAUUGUUUAUUAGUUUGUUAUUAUCAGUGGGUUUGAGCUUUGAGAAUAAAAAAUGAGAAGUUUAAGAUUAGAGGCGAAACGGAAAAUUAUUGAUUCAGUCAGUUUUGAAAGUAACCAGGAUACUGUUACCGACGGCUUGAAGAAGAAGUUGAGGGAAGGAUUAUACGAUAGUCAAACUGUUGUUCCUCAUCCAAAGAAAUCAAGGCGUAUUUCUUUAAAAGAAAAACAGAGAUUACGUAGAGAAAACCAAACUGCUGAAGAGCAUCAAAUUGCUAAAACUAAUAACAAUUAUGAACACCUUUGUUCUCCACAACAUUAGAAAAAACUUGAAACUCUGUCAAUGGAAACACCUCAUGAUUUGACACAUAAACACCGUGAAAAUGAAAUUGAAGAAGUAUCCAUUUCUGAAUCCAUUGCUGAUUUUUCAUUGUCCCACUCCCACGAUGAAGAUGAUGCUGUAUGUGGUACGUUUUUUCCCCUUUUUAUUUAAAGGUCGUCAUCCAAAUUGUGAUGAAUUUGGCAUAGGGUGUUCGUCUGAAAAUUAUAUUUUUGGUCCGAUAAAUGGACCUUUUUAUCUUGCAAUAAAUACCCACCAAUUGGUGAUAAACUAUGUGCUCCCUUUAACAAAAACCCACUAUAUCCAACCGGCUAGUCAAAUACCCUGCAUAUGCUGUUUUUAAUGCCAUAUAAAUAUAACCUCUUUUUCC
Molecule: long non-coding RNA, 717 nt
Organism: Daphnia pulex (common water flea)
Lineage: Eukaryota; Metazoa; Arthropoda; Branchiopoda; Diplostraca; Daphniidae
Exons: 3
Source: RefSeq, a predicted model, not a curated record